CUGUAGCAGAAGCCACGCUCAGAAUUGACGUUAGAUCGCCGAUACAAGGAGUGCUAGCUCCCUGUAUCGACUGCCCAUAGAGUCCUUUAACGGAGGUUCCUAUGUGC
This is a non-coding RNA of Salmonella enterica subsp. enterica serovar Macclesfield, 107 nucleotides long. Lineage: Bacteria; Pseudomonadati; Pseudomonadota; Gammaproteobacteria; Enterobacterales; Enterobacteriaceae. The record is from Rfam.